AUUGAACGCUGGCGGCAUGCCUUACACAUGCAAGUCGAACGGCAGCACGGACUUCGGUCUGGUGGCGAGUGGCGAACGGGUGAGUAAUGUAUCGGAACGUACCUUUCAGUGGGGGAUAACGUAGCGAAAGUUACGCUAAUACCGCAUAUUCUGUGAGCAGGAAAGCAGGGGAUCGCAAGACCUUGCGCUGAUUGAGCGGCCGAUAUCAGAUUAGCUAGUUGGUGGGGUAAAGGCCUACCAAGGCUACGAUCUGUAGCGGGUCUGAGAGGAUGAUCCGCCACACUGGAACUGAGACACGGUCCAGACUCCUACGGGAGGCAGCAGUGGGGAAUUUUGGACAAUGGGCGCAAGCCUGAUCCAGCCAUGCCGCGUGCGGGAAGAAGGCCUCGG
Molecule: ribosomal RNA, 390 nt
Filed under: uncultured bacterium
Lineage: Bacteria
Description: bacterial SSU rRNA
Rfam family: Bacterial small subunit ribosomal RNA
Source: RNAcentral